RNAcentral lists this ribosomal RNA (1309 nucleotides) under Triticum aestivum (bread wheat). RNAcentral's name for it is "partial small subunit ribosomal RNA". The record is from RNAcentral. Lineage: Eukaryota; Viridiplantae; Streptophyta; Magnoliopsida; Poales; Poaceae.
GACCCAAGACGGAAGACGCAUAAACCACUGAUCCCGCUUGCCAGGCACAUUUCGGGUCAGGCAGAGGCAGGGUCAGAUCCGGGUAGGUAAUCACUAGUUAAACAAGAUUUUUGUCAUUAACGAAAGAAAAUUAUUAGAGUUUUACUUAAUUGGCAUAAGUAGGGGUGGAAAUUCGAAGGGUUACCGCCUUGGGAUUCGAUUAAGGUGCGGAGGGUGGAGCGGGUCGCGCGUACCUGGUCGGCCGCAGCCUGCGGCCGCGGACGGAGCUCCAGGCGGAGAAGAUGCACGCGGAUAGCGGGGCGUCGAGGCCUCGACGGCGGGGCGGUGCCGAGAGCGACCGGUAGGUGGUGCGGCCCUGGCUCCGGAGGGGGAGGAGCGAGGGAGAGGCGGAGCUGGCGACGCUGGGUCAGAGACCGCUCCGGUGGAUGCAGAGAUGGCGCCGGCGCGCGGAGGGGGGCGGGCUGCGGAGGAAGCUCCAACGUCUGGUGGCGCUGCGGCGGGAGGAGGCUCCGUGGGAAGCUUCCACGGGACUGCGGUUCCGGCUAAGGGGACAGACCCGCUAGCUGACGCAGGGGCGGCUACGUCGCCGCCGGAGUCGGAGCCGGAAACUCCAGAUACAACGGCCCAUGACGCGUCCACUCGGGCGGCAAGAAUGCGCUCGGGACGCCGACCGGUGGGGCCUUCUCCGACGACCGCCUAACCAAGCGGCCGCUAGUCGUGGAAACCGCCGAUACACACUACUUCUGCUCUCACUGUACUUGUACCCUUGGUCCCGUAUGGGACUUCCUACCAUGAGACUACUGCUGCUGCCCGUUGAGUGUACCAAGUUGCGACCACAAUCCCAACCGCAGCCCUAACCCGACCCUCAGACACAACCUCAACCAUAUCCGCAACCCGAGGAGUACUCGAGGAUGGUUCGUUGCCGGUCCUUGGACUUCUCCGCCAAGAAGACUGUGACAGCGAUGUUUCCCGAGCCUGCCGGUCAUUCAUCUCUACCGGGUAGGCUACUACAAGGCGCGACUUGGUUGGCGGCAUACAUAUCAACCACCUAAACAACAAGCAACGUAACAACGACCAGCAGACCUCAAAAACUGAACACAUCGAGAGUAUAGACACAUACAUUAGACACUUCCACAGGGACUUGAACACCUUCACCGUUUUUACCUGAACCGUACCUCGUCUGCGUGACACCGGAAUAAAACAUUCGAAGUCUUAACACGAUGUUCAGUUAUUACACAUAUGUUCACGCUGUCGGAAAGCGAUACUCGCUUACAACAGCCUACAUACAAAGCAGUCACAAAUCUUCGUG